This 478-nucleotide ribosomal RNA is filed under the name uncultured bacterium. Its description in RNAcentral is "partial 16S ribosomal RNA". It matches the Rfam family "Bacterial small subunit ribosomal RNA", at positions 28 to 523 of the family's 1533-position model. The record is from RNAcentral.
GACGAACGCUGGCGGCGUGCUUAACACAUGCAAGUCGAACGGUAAGGCCCUUCGGGGUACACGAGUGGCGAACGGGUGAGUAACACGUGGGUGAUCUGCCCUGCACUUCGGGAUAAGCCUGGGAAACUGGGUCUAAUACCGGAUAGGACCACUGCCUGCAUGGGUGGUGGUGGAAAGCUUUUGCGGUGUGGGAUGGGCCCGCGGCCUAUCAGCUUGUUGGUGGGGUGAUGGGCUACCAAGGCGACGACGGGUAGCCGGCCUGAGAGGGUGACCGGCCACACUGGGACUGAGAUACGGCCCAGACUCGUACGGGAGGCAGCAGUGGGGAAUAUUGCACAAUGGGCGCAAGCCUGAUGCAGCGACGCCGCGUGAGGGAUGACGGCCUUCGGGUUGUAAACCUCUUUCAGCACCGACGAAGCGCAAGUGACGGUAGGUGCAGAAGAAGGACCGGCCAACUACGUGCCAGCCGCCGCGGUAA